AGAGUUUGAUCCUGGCUCAGGAUGAACGCUGGCGGCGUGCCUAAUACAUGCAAGUCGAACGAAUCUCUUUUAGAGAUGAGUGGCGAACGGGUGAGUAAUACAUAGGUAACCUGCCCCUGUGCGGGGGAUAACAGGAGGAAACUCCUGCUAAUACCGCAUAGCCAUGAGCACCGCAUGGAGCUCAUGCCAAAUAUCCUUUAUGGGAUAGCGCAGGGAUGGACCUAUGGCGCAUUAGCUGGUUGGCGGGGCAACGGCCCGCCAAGGCAACGAUGCGUAGCCGGCCUGAGAGGGCGGACGGCCACAUUGGGACUGAGACACGGCCCAGACUCCUACGGGAGGCAGCAGUAGGGAAUUUUCGGCAAUGGGGGAAACCCUGACCGAGCAACGCCGCGUGAGCGAAGAAGGCCUUCGGGUCGUAAAGCUCUGUUGUAAAGGAAGAACGGCGCAUACAGGAAAUGGUAUGCGAGUGACGGUACUUUACCAGAAAGCCACGGCUAACUACGUGCCAGCAGCCGCGGUAAUACGUAGGUGGCGAGCGUUAUCCGGAAUCAUUGGGCGUAAAGAGGGAGCAGGCGGCCGCAAGGGUCUGUGGUGAAAGACCGAAGCUAAACUUCGGUAAGCCAUGGAAACCGGGCGGCUAGAGUGCGGAAGAGGAUCGUGGAAUUCCAUGUGUAGCGGUGAAAUGCGUAGAUAUAUGGAGGAACACCAGUGGCGAAGGCGACGGUCUGGGCCGCAACUGACGCUCAUUCCCGAAAGCGUGGGGAGCAAAUAGGAUUAGAUACCCUAGUAGUCCACGCCGUAAACGAUGGUCACUAAGUGUCGGGGGUCAAACCCCGGUGCUGCAGUCAACGCAAUAAGUGACCCGCCUGAGUAGUACGUUCGCAAGAAUGAAACUCAAAGGAAUUGACGG
Molecule: ribosomal RNA, 910 nt
Filed under: uncultured bacterium
Lineage: Bacteria
Description: bacterial SSU rRNA
Rfam family: Bacterial small subunit ribosomal RNA
Source: RNAcentral